This is a long non-coding RNA of Mirounga angustirostris (Northern elephant seal), 7775 nucleotides long. RefSeq lists it as uncharacterized. Lineage: Eukaryota; Metazoa; Chordata; Mammalia; Carnivora; Phocidae. The record is from RefSeq and is a predicted model, not a curated record. The transcript has 2 exons.
CCUCCGGGUAAAACAAAAGAGAAAAUCCCAAUAUUAGUCAUGAUGAAAUGGAAAGCUCUUAAGCCAAGGUCCGAAACACCAGACAAUUAGCAGCUCUUCUGAUUCAGGAAGAUACAAAGAAUUAGAACAGGCCAAGUAUCUGUUAACCAGAAGAUUCCUGGAACUCAUACCUUAGCCUGGACUCCUCAUGAAUUGGGCUGGACCACAUGUGAACUCUUUCAUCCCUCUGGACUUAAAACAGACCCAGACUAAAUGCACGACCCUUCCACUCUUGUUCCUAGUCUCUUUACCCUGUGUAAUCCUGGUCCUUGAAAUCUUACCACUUUGUAGUGAGAAGAGGCAAGCAAAGAUAAGACAGUGGAAAACAGAGAAAAAUAUUUUCCCUAAGGCUUGGGAUUGCUUAAGAUAUCACUCCUAGGCCUUCCUAAGAAGGAAGGUGGGGAAAUAGACCAGGGACUUGGAAGAAUACACCAGAGAGCAGUUUGAGAGAAAACAGCAAGCCAAAUAAGAAAAGAAUUCUUUAAAUUCAUCGCAGAAUGAAGAAUUUCUUGGAAUUCUCAAAUCUACCACAUCUCCUAUUUCAAUGGCCCAGUUAUACCAGAGGCCUGAUUUAUAUCAUCUUCCCCACCGUAAGGGGUGAUCUUGGGCUCCCCUUUAAGGCUAGAACAUGCUGCUAACAGUACUUAUGACCUAUAUUUAACUGUGUUGUCUCAAGAGUAUCAUAACAGUAUUGCCUGGCCGCUAAAUAGGUUUAACUCCAGAAAUAAACUAAAAACUAAGACUUUACUGGAAUAUCCCAGUGAGUCUCAAAGAAGUAUUACAUUAUGUAACACUCAUAAAAAUGUCCUAAAAUCCACUUCACCCGUUUUGGUCCCCCAAGGAUCCAGCUGUUAAUGCAACUGCUUUCCCAGAACUUAUCUUCUCUCUUCUACCCAGAUUUUCUCUCAAAAGCUCCAGUUCGAGUUGGCUUAUAGUUAGUUCUACUACUCCUUUCACUGUCUGGAUCUCCUAAUUCACAAAAGUCUCCGUGACCUUUCUAAAGUAAGUGAAGUUUCUUUAGCAGAGUUCAACACAGCACUAAAAAAGGAGCAGAGAAAUGCAGCAACUAUCUUAGAAUGCAGGAUAAGGAGAAAGAGUAUAAGGUUAUGUUCACCCUGGCACAUAAAUCUGGAAACUUUAAUCUCAUUAAAACUAAAGAAAUGCAAAAGCAAAGAACAAGAUCCCUUUUAUGCCCAUUACAUUAACAACAACAGAAAGCUUCUUAUGUGAACACCAGUAAAAAGCAAGGAUGUGGUGAAACGGGUAUCCUCGUAUGUUGAACGUACCACAGCAAUUGGCAAAAAGCCUAUGAAAAACAAUUAUGCAGUGUAUAUAGAGAAUAAUACAAAUAUCCAUGCCAAUUAGCCCUCCUAGGAAUCCAUUCUAAUGGAAUAUUUUAAUAUGAAAAACAUUUCAUGCAUUUUUAUCAAGGGCUUCAUCACAAAUAAAACUGGAAACAACUUAAAUAUACGAUAGAAGUCUUGGACUACACUGAUACAUCCACUAGAAUAAGUUUAUAUUUAUUUGCCUGUCAUGAUUUGGAUUUUUAGUGUAUAAUUGUGUAAAAACUUGGAUGCAUGGGAAAAUGUACCAGAAUGGAUUGUACCAAAACAUUUCAGGGUAGGAGGAUUAUGGGUGAUAUUUUUUGUUCUGUUUUAUAAAUCUUCUGCUGUAAUUAUAGUAAUUUUAUGAAACAGAUAUUAAGUUAAAAAGAAAAAAAAAACACAUACUUUGCUGAGUGCACAAGAUAAAAUGAGGUUGGGUGAGGGAAACCAAUGGCUUUUUAUAUUAGAAAAACAUUAGACUGUGUGCUGAAAAAAUCGGGAUGACUUGUCACUGGCUGAGAGUUCCUGUUGAUCAUGCCGUGUGCCAGGCUGAUGUUGUCCUGGUUUUUGUCUUCCCUUCAGGCACAGGUGAUGCUCUCAUAGUAAGUUUUACGAAGGGUUUGAUGAGGAGCUCUAGCACCUUUAUAGUAAGUAUUCACUUACAGUGAAUGAAACAUAAAAGGAGAGAUCGAGGUCUCUAACACUACAGCUAGGUGGAAAGUAAGUCGAAAUUCAGGCCAUCGUGUGGCAAGACUGGUAUCCUCAACGGCAUAUGUAGAGUGAGUGUUUUGUUUUUGUUUUAAGUUUUUAUUUAUUUAUUUAAUGAGUGAGAGAGAGAGAGAGAGCGAGAGGGAGAAACACCAUGAGAGGGGAGAGGGUCAGAGGGAGAAGCAGGCUCCCUGCUGAGCAGGGAGCCCGAUGCGGGACUCGAUCCCAGGACUCUGGGAUCAUGACCUGAGCCGAGGGCAGACGCUUAAUUACUGACCCACCCAGGCGCCCUAGAGUGAGUGAUCUUUAUUGAAGGUUCUAUACUGGCUUUAAACUGUUACAAAUGAAUAAUCAUCCUUCCUGUUCUAUCGGAACUGGAGAGCACAACUUCCUUUUUGGUUUAUAACCCAGGAAAUUUCUUCAGGAUGGUAUCACGCCCACUUGCACAAACUGGAAGCCACAAAGACCAAUUUCCUGAGCCCAUUUCAGAGGAGUGGUUUGGCAGUAGACUCUGUUGCAGACAGAGUCUGUUGUGACACACACAAGGCAGGAGCGCAGGGGUCUGGAGCCCCGGCCGAGCCAGGAGCUCCGGGGUUGUCCUCACCUGUUUGUUGAAAGGCUGCUGUGGACUACACGUUACAGACUGCUCUGCUCACCCCUUAUCUAUGACCCUGUGGUCGUAAGACUCACGCGCUAGAUUAAACCAGGAGCAGAGGGAAACUCUCUGAUCUCAGAAGCUAAGCAGGGUCGGGCCUGGUUAGUACUUGGAUGGGAGGGAAACUCUUAAAGGUAAGCCUGAGUGAGGUGUUUCUUAAAAGUAGAAUUUAUAGCUACAUUUAAAAAACUCACUGGCAACCUCUAGUGGGACUAGAUAUUUAGAGUUUAAAACCUUUGGGUCAUAUUUUCCAUGCAUUCAAUGACCCUGUUUUACUGCCUAGGUAUUUUCUUUGGCGUGAUCUUCUUCCUUUCAUCCAUCAUGGUUUCUUGUUGGAUAAUUGUAAAGCACAAAAAAGGCAAUAUCACAGAUGAGAAACCUAAAGAGAUGAUCCACUUACAUCCUCUAGAAGACAGCAGUGUAAGGCCUCAAACUCUGCAAACAGAUCGGGAAAACAGCAGGUACCUAACGUAAAUACUGAAUUCAUAGUGUCUUCAAGAACUCAAAUCCUGCAAAUGAGAACAGGAUCUGCGUAUAUUCCCGCUCUAGUUGGAUCGCUGGUACCAGGGGAGUUCGAAGGGACUUCAGGAAGUGGAAAUGCCUCGGUUGUUGUCUUGUUGGAUUCUGGUUGUUUCCAGUGAGUUGGGUGAGGACUGUCCGCGCUAAGCACAGGCCCUGUUUUCACAAAGCGUUCCCGUAUUUUUGUGCAGGGCUGCUAUGAACCUUUGAGAAGGAAGCCUUUGUUUUUCUUGUGGAACCCAAGCACUUGCCACGUGGGCGUGCCUCUGGGUCCCCCACUUCCCUUCGAUGCACGGGGUCACCUCAGGACCCCGUGGAGACUCUGGCUUUCCUGCCUCCCCACUCCCACUGAAUUCCCUGCCUCCCCUGGCCUCCUAGGACUGCUCUCCCCGCCCCCCACCCCCGGAGGCUUGUCACCACACCUCAUGCCUGCAUUCCAGGAAGUCAAAGUACCAGCUUACUAGCAGAGCUGCCGUGUAGUAAACGUUUAGCUGUUUGCUAAAGGAUUGGGGUGAAAAGGGAGACGGUGCUACAACCCAAAGUGGCACACAACGUGGAACUGAAUGGUAGAAAUCCCGGGACCGUAAAGUGACGGUUUUUGUAACUAAGGUCUGACUGGAACACAGCCUCCCUCACUGGUAGCCUACUUAUGGCUACAGCAGCUGAAUGGAGUAGAAGCCACAGAGGGCGAGACGGGGUGGUUGUCUUUACAAGAGUUAAUAUAAAAACUACUUCACAAGAGGGCUUAAAAAAGCAUUUAAUUCCUCCUCAUUCCUGCCAAGUGACCCACCGAAACACUUUACCACCUUUCUGCCAAUUUAAGGUGCAUUCGUCAGGCUCAGACUCCACUUACCCAAGGAGUUCUGCCCAAAGUGCUCCCACACUUGCUGUCUAUAACAGUUUUAAAAUAAACUAUUUCCUUUUAAGAAUAAGAAGUGCUCAUUACUGAAAAUGUAGAAAAUAAAGAAAAAUAUAGAGAACAUAAAAAUUACCUGAACUAGCCUCCACUCAGUAGUUAGUAUUCUUAAGCUUCUUUGCAUAUUGUUUUACAUUUGCAGGGUUAUACACGGAGAUUGAACUGACUGUAUAAUAUUGAAUUCUGAUUUUGUUUUCACCAAAUGACAACCAUUUCCUUUAUCAAAGAACUUAUAUCCUAAAGUAUUCAAUAUAAUAUUUGUUUUUUGCCUGUUAACACUGUUAUAUUCACUUGCUCAUUACUACAUUCUUCAAACAUGGAUUAGUCACAUUUUUUUUUUUAAAUUUCAGAGAGAGAGCGCGUGAGUGCACGAGUGGGGGUAGGGGCAGAGGGAGAGGGAGAAGCAGGCUCCCCUCUGAGUAGGGAGCUGGACACAGGGCUCGAUCCCAGGACUCUGGGAUCAUGACCUGAGCUGAAGUCAGAUGCUUAACCAACUGAGCCACCCAGGCACCCCUGGAUUAGUCACUUAUAACAUGUACCAUACUUUGAGCUUAUAUCUUCUUUCUCAUGCUAACUUAUAAGAACCUCCUUUUUAAAUUUCCUUAAAUUUCUGAGUAGAGACUUUAUCAAAUCAGAAGUAUAAAUAUAUGAGAGUAAAUUUAUCAAAAUUUCCUUUUAACUAACUUUUUGGAAGUGUUCUUUUACAUCAAGGGACAUGUCAAAUUGUGUACAUUGACUGUUGAUCAACUUUUAAUAAAAUGGUAGGAAGUCCUUAAUGAAUUUGUGUCUAAUCUCCUUUUUAAGACUGGAAUUUUGGCCAUAGAGUUCUCCAGGAGCAAGGUUGAUCCUCUGGCAAGAUGUGGUAGAUAAAGAAUGAGUCAGAUCUGCACCUUGUGCGCCCAAGCAAGGUACAAGGACCAAGAGGGUGAUACAGGUAAAGAGGCAGAUUCCAAAGACACAGCUGCGUGCUAAAGGACAUGAGAAUGUUCAAAGAUGGCGCAGGUAACAAAUGAUGUUGGGAAGUCUUGAGAGGUGGAAAGAGAACAAUGAUGAGGGAUCAGGUGGCAGUAAUAAUAGGGGGUGUCAGAUGAGCUGCUGGGCCUCCCCAGGGAUCUGUCCACUGGCGGGAGGACAGUCUUCCUGGCCUUAAGGAAGAGGAGAGCUUUCAGCAUGGCCAGGGAAGCAUUUGGACAUCUUGGACUAUACAAUAUCUUCUUUCAGUCAUGACGGUGGUAUGGGGAAGACAUGCUCUCUGAGGCAGACCCUCCUCCAAACUACCAGUUCCUGUUUACGCUCCCCUGCCAGGAGCUGGCUCAGAAAAGAGAGUCAGAAAUACAUUGUGUGUUAGGAGGGACCUCUAUGUUUCUGGAACAAGGCUCUUUCUAUUUGGUUGCUCAACACUGAGAACACUUUUCCUUUGGCAAAAAAGGCAAUGAGGAAAGGUCAACUUAUUCAUUAAUCUCUCUCUUGUCUACUCAGUGUCUCAAUCUAUGCCAUAUUUUCUUGUGCCCUACAUAGCAACCACUAAGGAGGGCAUAAACACUUCUUCUGAACUUGUAAUUAUGUGUAAUGUUAGCAUCACCAUUUUAAGCAGCAAAUUCUGGGCAGUUCAGUUGUCACCCAUGCUGUCACCCGAAUAAAAAUAUCCUGUUAUUUCAGUGCCCUUCCUUGACAAAGUACUAUAGAGCUGGAAACACCUCGGAUCACAAUGUUGCUGGAAAGGAGCCAAUUCAACAGAGUAAGAUGUGAGACUCAUAAAAUCUUGGAAGUGACCUCACUGAGACGCAGACAUGUGCACGUGAAGAUGCUGCCGGGCUCCCAGGAGCUAGUAAAAGCUCCCUCCUCUUAGCUUGGAUUACUGUCACUCCUUGUGCUUUCUCCUUCUGCUGAACGCACACAUCAUCAAGUUGGGGGAAAAGACUGCACUUAGGGUAUAUAAAUAGUCUCAAUUACUUAAAGGAAGAAGGUGGCACUUCGGAUUUCUGUUUACAAGUUUGUUAUUCGCCUUGUAUGUAAUUCACCUAUGUAUGGAAUGGGCUCAUUAAUGAGAAGAUCAAAAUCCAGGAGGAAGAUGUGAAAAACUAAGUCACAUACAAUUAUACUACUCAGUGAUAACCACUGUUAAUAUUUUGAUUCAUUUUCUGCUAAGCUUUCUUCAUAUAUGUUUGUUUAUACACACAUGUCUUUCUUAGUAACUUUUUCUUCUGUAGAACAAAAUCUCCUAUUAGAUCAGAGUAAAAUAUAGAGAAAUCAGUUUUUACUUUCUCUAGGAAAAAAAGUAUCUUCUGUUUAUUGUAUGUGCUGCUGAAGCGAGCACAGCAUUUUCUGUUUAUUAAAAAGGCAUUAAAUGAAUCCGAGGAACAGGUUUUCAAGAGAAACAUCUUAACCAAUGAGCUUUGGAUAUUUCCUAAGUUCUAUUUCAAAAGCAAUUUGUACUGUGUGUAUAAAAACAUACUAUUUUAAAUGAAAGAAUAAUUUUAUUAUAAAAGCAAGUGACUUUUUGUAUAGAUUCAGAAGACACCAAAUAAACUAAGAAACCAUGACUUUUAAGAAUUGCAGAAUUAAUGUACAGGUCUAUAAAUAAGUGAUCCUGGAGUCCAUAACUGGUCCACAUGCUUACAGAUCAACAAUUUAUUUGGUAUGAUAACAUGGGCCAUGCUAACAAUCUAGAAAAUACCAGAAUCUUUCUGGAUAUUUAACAACAGAUUUGCAUAUGACGACCGCUAACUACUGUGUAAUUCUGGGUUUUAAGUUGCUUUUAGAGUAUAUUCUGCCACAUUUACCUAGAUAAAUAUAAAGAGUGAACUGGACAUCAACUUGAACUUUCUUUAAAAUCAUGGAAGAAAGGGAGAAAACAGCAUAAGCAAAGUCAACUGACAAACUAGGAGGAAAAAAUUACAACUUAUAUCGUAGACAAGGGUAAUUGGCAUAUUUAGAGUUAAAAAUUCAAAGACCAACCCUCCCCACCCACCUCCCUGUAAAUGGGGAAAGGAUAUCCAGCCAGGCCUCCAAUAAAAGAAAGGCAAGUAACCCAUGAGUAUAUCAAAAGAUCCUCAAUGGUUUUGCUUAGUUGAAACUUAGGGAAAUCUAUUAGGUCUUGAGUUUCUGAAGAAGUACAUUUUAAAGGAGGGCUAGAAAUUAUCUGUUGGGAAUUGGCCUUGCUUAGAAUUAAAAUUCCCUAUCAUAAGAAAAAAAUGUAAAUUCCUCUUUUUCCCCCAGAAUGCAGUAGGUCAGUGAGUAUUGCGAUUAACCAGCAUCUGACGCCUGGGACAUUGAAUCUCAAGAAAUUCAUGAGAUUUUAUGCCUGUGACAUCAGUGAUACAUGGGAAAUACUGUUUAUACUAACUAUGGGUAAAAUACUGAAUUGUCUAACUUCAUUUGUAUUGUUGAGUAAUUCUGUUAACCUCUGGCCUUACAUUUUUCAUCUGGAAAGCAGGGCUGGACCAACUGGUCUCCAAAGGCAUUCUUAGUGCUAACAAUCUAAUUUUUUUUCUCGUUUCCUUUUUGUGUACACGUAAGCGUGAGGUGUGAGUUCAAGCCUAUGACAUUUAAAUAAAAUGUUCUGUCUCCAUCACUGUAAUGGCAAAGGAAUAAAAGAUUUUUUCUUUCUAAA